RNAcentral lists this non-coding RNA (27 nucleotides) under Rattus norvegicus (Norway rat). The record is from RNAcentral. Lineage: Eukaryota; Metazoa; Chordata; Mammalia; Rodentia; Muridae.
UUGGAACACAUCACUAACAUGUGCUCA